This is a small nucleolar RNA of Tachyglossus aculeatus (Australian echidna), 138 nucleotides long. Lineage: Eukaryota; Metazoa; Chordata; Mammalia; Monotremata; Tachyglossidae. The record is from RefSeq and is a predicted model, not a curated record.
CCCCUCUCAGGGUCGCACCUGGAGAGUUUCCAGUCCUCUACCAGCAUCAGCUUCGGGAGGGAGAGUCAAGCAGAGGCCUACCCAUUCCAUUCUUAGCAUGGGCAGUGGCUAGCGAGUGGAAGGCCAUUUGCUACAAGU